GUAAAGACUGCGAAAAGAAGAGUAGGUACCCGAUACAUUCACAGAGAGUCCUGUUGCUGAGAGAGGAUAUAGCUUGAAGGUACUGAAUAUGGUCUUGGAGUUGCGCACCGAACACCUGCAUACGGGUAUAAGGCUGCGACGGUCUCACCCGUUAUAGUGAUAAAGUAUAAGGUGAAACACAGCCGCAACUUGUUUGCAGCUUCAGCAUCCGUACUUGAUGAGGCCUGUGUUGUGAGGCGCGGGUAAAUUUGGGGUGGUAACACGAAGUCAUACUCUCGUCUCCGAA
Molecule: non-coding RNA, 286 nt
Filed under: Ruminiclostridium hungatei
Lineage: Bacteria; Bacillati; Bacillota; Clostridia; Eubacteriales; Oscillospiraceae
Description: Clostridium hungatei T-box sequence
Rfam family: T-box leader
About the family: Uncharged tRNA acts as the effector for transcription antitermination of genes in the T-box leader family. T-boxes are found upstream of many aminoacyl-tRNA synthetase genes and some amino acid biosynthetic genes usually in Gram-positive bacteria. The anticodon of a specific tRNA base pairs to a specifier sequence within the T-box motif, and the NCCA acceptor tail of the tRNA base pairs to a conserved bulge in the T-box antiterminator hairpin.
Source: RNAcentral